This 464-nucleotide ribosomal RNA is filed under the name Vreelandella stevensii. RNAcentral describes it as "partial 16S ribosomal RNA". It matches the Rfam family "Bacterial small subunit ribosomal RNA", at positions 338 to 794 of the family's 1533-position model. The record is from RNAcentral. Lineage: Bacteria; Pseudomonadati; Pseudomonadota; Gammaproteobacteria; Oceanospirillales; Halomonadaceae.
CCUACGGGUGGCUGCAAUGGGGAAUAUUGGACAAUGGGGGGAACCCUGAUCCAGCCAUGCCGCGUGUGUGAAGAAGGCCCUCGGGUUGUAAAGCACUUUCAGUGAGGAAGAACGCCUGGUGGUUAAUACCCAUCAGGAAAGACAUCACUCACAGAAGAAGCACCGGCUAACUCCGUGCCAGCAGCCGCGGUAAUACGGAGGGUGCGAGCGUUAAUCGGAAUUACUGGGCGUAAAGCGCGCGUAGGUGGCUUGAUAAGCCGGUUGUGAAAGCCCCGGGCUCAACCUGGGAACGGCAUCCGGAACUGUCAAGCUAGAGUGCAGGAGAGGAAGGUAGAAUUCCCGGUGUAGCGGUGAAAUGCGUAGAGAUCGGGAGGAAUACCAGUGGCGAAGGCGGCCUUCUGGACUGACACUGACACUGAGGUGCGAAAGCGUGGGUAGCAAACAGGAUUAGAUACCCUGGUAGU